This 427-nucleotide ribosomal RNA is filed under the name uncultured bacterium. RNAcentral's name for it is "partial 16S ribosomal RNA". It matches the Rfam family "Bacterial small subunit ribosomal RNA", at positions 355 to 774 of the family's 1533-position model. The record is from RNAcentral.
UGGGGAAUAUUGCACAAUGGGCGCAAGCCUGAUGCAGCCAUGCCGCGUGUAUGAAGAAGGCCUUCGGGUUGUAAAGUACUUUCAGCGGGGAGGAAGGCGAUAAGGUUAAUAACCUUGUCGAUUGACGUUACCCGCAGAAGAAGCACCGGCUAACUCCGUGCCAGCAGCCGAGGUAAUACGGAGGGUGCAAGAGUUAAUCGGAAUUACUGGGCGUAAAGCGCACGCAGGCGGUCUGUCAAGUCGGAUGUGAAAUCCCCGGGCUCAACCUGGGAACUGCAUUCGAAACUGGCAGGCUAGAGUCUUGUAGAGGGGGGUAGAAUUCCAGGUGUAGCGGUGAAAUGCGUAGAGAUCUGGAGGAAUACCGGUGGCGAAGGCGGCCCCCUGGACAAAGACUGACGCUCAGGUGCGAAAGCGUGGGGAGCAAACA